UACGGAGGGUGCAAGCGUUAAUCGGAAUUACUGGGCGUAAAGCGUGCGUAGGUGGUUCGUUAAGUCCGUUGUGAAAGCCCCGAGCUCAACUUGGGAAUUGCAGUGGAUACUGGCGAGCUGGAGUGCGGUAGAGGAAGGUGGAAUUCCCGGUGUAGCGGUGAAAUGCGUAGAGAUCGGGAGGAACACCAGUGGCGAAGGCGGCCUUCUGGACCAGCGCUGACACUCAAGCACGAAAGCGUGGGGAGCAAACAGG
RNAcentral lists this ribosomal RNA (253 nucleotides) under uncultured bacterium. RNAcentral describes it as "partial 16S ribosomal RNA". It matches the Rfam family "Bacterial small subunit ribosomal RNA", at positions 524 to 776 of the family's 1533-position model. The record is from RNAcentral.